UACCCAAAUUAAGGUUAUAUAUGGGAUGAAGGUAUGAGAAAACUUUGUUAUGGUAGAAGAGAGACAGCUUACAACUUCAAUGGAAAGAGCUCUGGAUUAGAGUUAGGAGGGACCUCACAAGUCUUCUGACCCAACUCAUACCUGAGCCUUUAUAACCUCCUUCAACAAGUGGUCAUUCAGUCACUGCUUGAAGGCCCCCAGAGCUUGAAUCCCUUCAUGGUUUGUGAUACCAUUCUGUGCAUCAAAGUUGCUCAUUUAGUCAACCAAUAGCUCUCCGUGUUCGCAACAUCUGUUAAAGAGACCUUCUGGGGACCCGUGAAGCUAUUCUAAACUAAAUUGUACUUAUGCAGAGCACCCAGGUGCAGUGCAUAGUCAAAGGAACAAAGAAGGAUCUUCAGUCAUUCCACUUGGCCUUUACAUGAGAAGACAGAGUAAUAUCUCUGUUCUUGAUCCAUUGUCAGCAUACGGUGUCCAUUUGGACAUUCCAGCACCCAUAAAAGGCAACUUUGUAUUUUAUGUAUCAAACUGUAAAUAAAGCCGUCCUCUAUGUAUAA
Molecule: long non-coding RNA, 554 nt
Organism: Vombatus ursinus (common wombat)
Lineage: Eukaryota; Metazoa; Chordata; Mammalia; Diprotodontia; Vombatidae
Exons: 3
Source: RefSeq, a predicted model, not a curated record